UACGUAGGAGACGAGCGUUGUCCGGAGUUACUGGGCGUAAAGGGUGCGUAGGCGGUUGUUUAAGUUUGGUGUGAAAUCUCCCGGCUCAACCGGGAGGGUGCGCCGAAUACUGAACGGCUAGAGUGCGGGAGAGGAGAGUGGAAUUCCUGGUGUAGCGGUGAAAUGCGUAGAUAUCAGGAGGAACACCGGUGGUGUAGACGGCUCUCUGGACCGUAACUGACGCUGAGGCACGACAGCGUGGGGAGCAAACAGG
Molecule: ribosomal RNA, 253 nt
Filed under: uncultured bacterium
Lineage: Bacteria
Description: partial 16S ribosomal RNA
Rfam family: Bacterial small subunit ribosomal RNA
Source: RNAcentral